This 72-nucleotide transfer RNA is filed under the name Anneissia japonica. Its description in RNAcentral is "tRNA-Gln". It matches the Rfam family "tRNA". Rfam says of the family: Transfer RNA (tRNA) molecules are approximately 80 nucleotides in length. Lineage: Eukaryota; Metazoa; Echinodermata; Crinoidea; Comatulida; Comatulidae. The record is from RNAcentral.
GGUUCUAUGGUGUAAUGGUUAGCACUCUGGACUCUGAAUCCAGCGAUCCGAGUUCAAGUCUUGGUAGAACCU